RNAcentral lists this ribosomal RNA (253 nucleotides) under uncultured bacterium. Its description in RNAcentral is "partial 16S ribosomal RNA". It matches the Rfam family "Bacterial small subunit ribosomal RNA", at positions 524 to 776 of the family's 1533-position model. The record is from RNAcentral.
GACGAACCGUGCGAACGUUGUUCGGAAUCACUGGGCUUAAAGGGCGCGUAGGCGGGCGUGACAGUCAGGGGUGAAAGCCCACGGCUCAACCGUGGAAGUGCCUUUGAUACUUCAUGCCUUGAGGGACCUAGAGGUGAGCGGAACUGAUGGUGGAGCGGUGAAAUGCGUUGAUAUCAUCAGGAACACCGGAGGCGAAGGCGGCUCACUGGGGGUCUUCUGACGCUGAGGAACGAAAGCCAGGGGAGCGAACGGG